Molecule: long non-coding RNA, 561 nt
Filed under: Rattus norvegicus (Norway rat)
Lineage: Eukaryota; Metazoa; Chordata; Mammalia; Rodentia; Muridae
Description: long non-coding RNA NONRATT024191
Source: RNAcentral
CAAAUCCCGGGGCCUCUUUGCUGGUAUUUCCCUAGAAGGAAGCUGUCUGAUUGAAAGGAAAGAAACUAAUCGGAAGCCAAAGAACUACCUCCAAAACCAUCAUCAAGGCCACAGCCAUCACGCCCACCUGUGCAGCUGAAUGCCGGCUCCCAGAGUAAUAGAAAUGAAUAUAAGCUAUAUCCUGAGCUUUCUAGCUAUCAUGAGAAAACUGGCAGUUUGAGUCAGCCAAUAGAAGUGACAGCAUUAUACUCUUUUGAAGGGCAACAGCCCGGGGACUUGAAUUUUCAAGCAGGAGACAGAAUCAUAGUUAUAUCAAAGACCGACUCAAAUUUUGAUUGGUGGGAAGGAAAACUUCGAGGUCAAACUGGAAUUUUCCCAGCCAACUAUGUAACUAUGAAUUAAAGUUCAUACGAUUUUGUUAUUUGAUAAUUACACAAAAACAUUUCUACACAGACAGGAUUCACUAUUUACAUCAGAUUGUUUAAACACACCCUUGCUCUGCAAAUGUUUUUAUCCAGUUGUAAAAUAUUUUCUCUGCAUAUAAAUAAAUGGUUAAAUCAG